CGAGUUGAAGCGGCAAAAGCUCAAAUUUGAAAUCUGGCUCUUUCAGAGUCCGAGUUGUAAUUUGAAGAAGGUAUCUUUGGGUCUGGCUCUUGUCUAUGUUUCUUGGAACAGAACGUCACAGAGGGUGAGAAUCCCGUGCGAUGAGAUGAUCCAGGCCUAUGUAAAGUUCCUUCGAAGAGUCGAGUUGUUUGGGAAUGCAGCUCUAAGUGGGUGGUAAAUUCCAUCUAAAGCUAAAUAUUGGCGAGAGACCGAUAGCGAACAAGUACAGUGAUGGAAAGAUGAAAAGAACUUUGAAAAGAGAGUGAAAAAGUACGUGAAAUUGUUGAAAGGGAAGGGCUUGAGAUCAGACUUGGUAUUUUGUAUGUUACUUCUUCGGGGGUGGCCUCUACAGUUUAUCGGGCCAGCAUCAGUUUGGGCGGUAGGAGAAUUGCGUUGGAAUGUGGCACGGCUUCGGUUGUGUGUUAUAGCCUUCGUCGAUACUGCCAGCCUAGACUGAGGACUGCGGUUUAUACCUAGGAUGUUGGCAUAAUGAUCUUAAGUCGCCCGUCUUGAAACACGGACCAA
RNAcentral lists this ribosomal RNA (564 nucleotides) under Candida tropicalis. RNAcentral describes it as "eukaryotic LSU rRNA". It matches the Rfam family "Eukaryotic large subunit ribosomal RNA", at positions 90 to 669 of the family's 3401-position model. The record is from RNAcentral. Lineage: Eukaryota; Fungi; Ascomycota; Pichiomycetes; Serinales; Debaryomycetaceae.